CCGGAAGAGUCCCCCCCUUUUCCUAGUCUGACCGCUCCUCCCCUACUCCCUCAGGAUCGGUUUUGUUGAAAAAUCUUUUUUUUUUUUUUUUUUUUGCCCCAAAUCUUGCUGUGACUUGGGUCAACCCUCCAGGUCCUUUUUUUUUUUUUUUAAUUUUUUUGUUUCUCCUUCCCCUCCCACUUUUUUUUCUUUCUUUUUCUUUUUUUUCUCUUGUUUGUGUUGUGUGUGGAAAUGGCGAACUCGGCAAAUACAAACACCGUGCCUAAAUUAUAUAGAUCUGUGAUUGAAGAUGUUAUUAAUGAUGUGAGAGAUAUCUUCCUGGAUGAAGGAGUAGAUGAACAAAUCUUGAUGGAACUAAAAACUUUAUGGGAGAGUAAACUCAUGCAGUCCAGGGCAGUAGACGGAUUUCAUUCAGAAGAGCAGCAGCUCUUACUGCAAGUUCAGCAGCAGCAUCAAGCGCAGCCGCAGCACCACCACCACCACCAGCAGCAGCAGCAGGCUCAACCUCAGCAAACAGUACCUCAGCCCGCACAGGCCCCGCAGGUCCUUAUUCCUGCAUCACAGCAAGCCACAGCACCACAAGUUAUUGUCCCUGAUUCUAAGUUAAUACAGCAUAUGAAUGCAUCUAGCAUGAGUGCUGCUGCUACAACUGCUACCUUGGCCCUCCCUGCAGGGGUCACUCCUGUUCAGCAGAUCCUAACGAACUCAGGCCAGCUUCUUCAGGUGGUCCGAGCAGCUAAUGGUGCCCAGUAUAUCUUCCAGCCUCAGCAGUCGGUGGUUCUCCAGCAACAGGUCAUACCGCAGAUGCAGCCUGGCGGAGUCCAGGCUCCUGUUAUUCAGCAGGUCCUAGCCCCACUUCCUGGAGGGAUUUCUCCACAGACAGGUGUUAUCAUUCAGCCUCAGCAAAUCCUAUUUACAGGAAAUAAGACUCAAGUUAUACCUACAACAGUAGCAGCACCCACACCAGCCCAAGCACAGAUAACUGCAGCCGGUCAACAGCAGCCACAGGCCCAGCCUGCUCAGCAGCAAGCUCCUUUGGUGUUGCAAGUUGAUGGAACUGGGGAUACAUCAUCUGAAGAAGAUGAAGAUGAAGAAGAAGAUUAUGACGAUGAUGAAGAGGAAGAUAAAGAGAAAGAUGGAGCUGAAGAUGGGCAGGUGGAAGAAGAGCCCCUCAACAGUGAAGAUGAUGUAAGUGAUGAGGAAGGACAGGAGCUGUUUGACACAGAAAAUGUUGUGGUAUGCCAGUAUGACAAGGUGAACCCUGAACAAACACUUGUCAUGAACAUGCCAUAGAGAAUGCUGGCCCCAGGAGGUGAGGCCAUGGAGCUGUAGGAUUGGAGUCAGAGAAACUGAUACACAGAAGUAAAAAUAAGUGGAAAUUUCAUCUUAAGGAUGGCAUUAUGAAUCUUAAUGGAAGAGAUUACAUAUUUUCCAAAGCCAUUGGAGAUGCAGAAUGGUGAAGAGUGGCUUCUUUUCUUUUAUAAAUACAACAGAAGGACUUAAAAAAUUAAAGUGGACGGUUUGAAACUUGGGACAUACACCAACCAAAACUUCACUUCUGCAUGUCAGAAAGUGCAGUAGACUAAAGCUACUGGAACAAAGACAGACCUUGAUAACAUAGACACUACUCUGACUGGCCAGCCAUGGAACUGUAGCCCUGGGGUUGU
Jaculus jaculus (lesser Egyptian jerboa) is the source of this 1667-nucleotide RNA transcript. It is a transcript of the gene named general transcription factor IIA subunit 1, with no coding region annotated. Lineage: Eukaryota; Metazoa; Chordata; Mammalia; Rodentia; Dipodidae. The record is from RefSeq and is a predicted model, not a curated record. The transcript is spliced from 10 exons.